GGUUAGCCUGCAGCGCGCCGGCUGGGCUCUGCCAACUCAUGCAGAGCUCCACCGCUACCUUGGGCGGUGCACCACCGCUGACACUGGAGGAAACUUUUCUCAUUCGUUUUUCAUUCCAAGAAUCUUUUCCUCAUCUCUCUUCACUAGAUUUUGCCACUUGGCCCAAAUCCAACGGUUCUGAAAUUCUAUAAAUUGUCAUUACCCUUCCCUUCCUCUCCACACUUCCAUUUCUUUUAUUUUUAAAAAUUUAUAGAGAGAGAGAUAUAUAGUAAAAUAACGAGAGAAGAAAAAGAAGAAAGGAAAAUAGUGAAGGAGAAAAUAUCGAGGUUUCGGU
This 334-nucleotide long non-coding RNA is filed under the name Carica papaya (papaya). RNAcentral describes it as "long non-coding RNA (CPAP_LNC005133)". The record is from RNAcentral. Lineage: Eukaryota; Viridiplantae; Streptophyta; Magnoliopsida; Brassicales; Caricaceae.